RNAcentral lists this ribosomal RNA (468 nucleotides) under uncultured bacterium. RNAcentral describes it as "partial 16S ribosomal RNA". It matches the Rfam family "Bacterial small subunit ribosomal RNA", at positions 28 to 507 of the family's 1533-position model. The record is from RNAcentral.
GACGAACGCUGGCGGCGUGCUUAACACAUGCAAGUCGAACGGAAAGGCCCUGCUUUUGUGGGGUGCUCGAGUGGCGAACGGGUGAGUAACACGUGAGUAACCUGCCCUUGACUUUGGGAUAACUUCAGGAAACUGGGGCUAAUACCGGAUAGGAGCUCCUGCUGCAUGGUGGGGGUUGGAAAGUUUCGGCGGUUGGGGGUGGACUCGCGGCUUAUCAGCUUGUUGGUGGGGUAGUGGCUUACCAAGGCUUUGACGGGUAGCCGGCCUGAGAGGGUGACCGGCCACAUUGGGACUGAGAUACGGACCAGACUCCUACGGGAGGCAGCAGUGGGGAAUAUUGCACAAUGGGCGGAAGCCUGAUGCAGCAACGCCGCGUGCGGGAUGACGGCCUUCGGGUUGUAAACCGCUUUCGCCUGUGACGAAGCGUGAGUGACGGUAAUGGGUAAAGAAGCACCGGCUAACUACGUG